AUUUAUAUAGUUUAAUAAAAACCCUACAUUUUCAUUGUAAAAUUAGAUCUUAUCUUAUAAAUA
This 63-nucleotide transfer RNA is filed under the name Nigidius miwai. RNAcentral describes it as "tRNA-Glu". Lineage: Eukaryota; Metazoa; Arthropoda; Insecta; Coleoptera; Lucanidae. The record is from RNAcentral.